This 301-nucleotide ribosomal RNA is filed under the name uncultured bacterium. RNAcentral describes it as "partial 16S ribosomal RNA". It matches the Rfam family "Bacterial small subunit ribosomal RNA", at positions 509 to 807 of the family's 1533-position model. The record is from RNAcentral.
CAGUCGCCGCGGGAAUACGAGGGGGGCAAGCGUUGUUCGGAAUUAUUGGGCGUAAAGGGUGCGUAGGCGGUUCAGCAAGUCUCGUGUGAAAUCUUCGGGCUCAACCCGUAGUCUGCAUAGGAAACUACUGGGCUUGAGUAUUGGAGAGGUGAGUGGAAUUUCCGGUGUAGCGGUGAAAUGCGUAGAUAUCGGAAGGAACACCUGUAGCGAAAGCGGCUCACUGGACAAUUACUGACGCUGAUGCACGAAAGCUAGGGGAGCAAACAGGAUUAGAUACCCCCGUAGUCCCUGUCUCUUAUAC